CAGUGUGCAGGCUCAAGGAGAAGUCAACCAAGCACGUCGUCCUACAUUGUCCGAGGGCAAGGCUGAUUUGGAGACAGACCGAUAUCUACCUCUGGGAGUCAAGUAGUGGCCCGUGGCUAGAGUCCUUCCUGAGCACAAUUCAUCAGAGUGUGAUUGAGGGCGAGCAUUCCUACAGCAGUUAGAUUUGGCUUUCUAGAAACUGUCUAGUCUUCGAUGGUGAGGUGGCUUCAAUGCAUAGAAUACUAGAGAGAGCCCGUUGCCUCGUCGCGAAAUACCUUCGAUUCGAUGCUGCCAUUGGUCCCC
Molecule: long non-coding RNA, 303 nt
Filed under: Elaeis guineensis (African oil palm)
Lineage: Eukaryota; Viridiplantae; Streptophyta; Magnoliopsida; Arecales; Arecaceae
Description: long non-coding RNA (EGUI_LNC000228)
Source: RNAcentral